AGGCAUUCCAUUAUAAUCUUUCUGAUUGCAGCAUGUUUGUUUUAUUCAAAUUCACAAACAAAUCUAGUUGGUUUUUUAAAAUCACCAACCACAAUCUAUACACUGAUUAUUUUUCAGACUCACAAUCAAUCCAAUUAAUUUUAUGGGCUCACCAAUUAAAAUCAAUACACUAAUUAUUUUUUAGAUUCACAACUAAUUCAGUUGAUUUUAUGAGCUCAUCAAUCAAAACCUACAAUGCCCAAUUUCGGGCUUGGAUG
Molecule: long non-coding RNA, 257 nt
Filed under: Elaeis guineensis (African oil palm)
Lineage: Eukaryota; Viridiplantae; Streptophyta; Magnoliopsida; Arecales; Arecaceae
Description: long non-coding RNA (EGUI_LNC039215)
Source: RNAcentral